AGUAGAAGAAGCACAGAAGUAUUGUGAAGAUGAACAAAUAUUGACUCCAGUAUGUGUAAAUGCAUGGCAGGUCUUUCACUGUGCUGUUCUGAAUGAAAGUAAAGAUUUAUACUGGGAGCAGUCUCUUCUGCCUAAGCAGUAACAUCACUGGAAAUGACUGUAUGUGGGAUUUCUUAGACCCUAAAGGGAAAAAUCAUGCAGAGAGCUGAGUUUGAAAGCCCCGGGAUUACAGCUGUCCUGACCUCACAGAUAAGAACCGGGCUUUUGUCCAUGUCUGCCUAACCCUUACACACUUUGUCUUCUGUACAGUUUCACGAUGAUGUUAGGAUUUUGUUUUUAGCUUGCAGGUCUCACCUUUAUUCAAAACAGCAUAAAAAGUUUUAUUAAAAAUAUAUCUAUUACUCUUUAGCAUGUCCCCAUUCACAAUAGCACUAUAAACUCAAUCUAGUCAUCUAGGUCAACCAAAGGAGUCAAACCAUCUCUCUGGGAUUUUCUAAUUUCCACUUGGCCACCACUCCAUCAAAAUCUACUCUUUUCCAUUACAGAACAAAGGUCUAUUCAGUUUCUGCACGUGGAAUAAGUUGGGCACGAGGUGUGUAGAAGAAAGGGUCCUGUGUUACCAGACUACAAUUCCAGAACAGCCAUUCUGCGAAAUCUGUUCCCAGUCAUGAGAGUCAACCAGACUGUCCAGCAGCAAGUGCACAUGACAGACUUUCAUCUGUCAGUCAGUCAGAUCCAGAAAGUAAGAUGCCCUCAGCUAAAGAGGCCCUAUUAUUACAUAUGGAAAGCAGUCAUUAAGCUCAUCACUGUCAAAGAAGUCAAAGGAGAAGAUAUAAAUGUGGGAGUAUGAUGCUUGAUCAGAUCCAGGGCCUAGGAAGAGCCAGAGGAACAGUGUUUCCUUUUGCUACGUUCCGGGUCCAAUUCCCACAGGACAAUGCAACAAGGACCAUCUGCACACUUGACAGAUUCUGUGCAAGAGAGGGUGACGCCGCCCAUGCCCUCCAACUUGUGCACCAUACACACAGUCUUGCCUACAGUCCCCAACAAAAGAGCAGCUGUGGAGUAGCCACGGGAGACAUGCAGGAGUGCAUGGCAUAUCUGGAGAGCUGCCACGGAACUUCUGUACUGAGUGGAUCCUCAGCAAGUAUUUUCUUGCUAAGAAUCUUUGCGAUAUUGCAAAGUUUUGUGAGCUUUAGGACAGAGUUUUAAAAUAAAUCAAGCAUUCAUUGAUAACCACUCACAAAUUUAUUUUAAAACAAUCAUUUUGGCAUACUUAUGAUUUUAUUG
This is a long non-coding RNA of Meriones unguiculatus (Mongolian gerbil), 1287 nucleotides long. RefSeq lists it as uncharacterized. Lineage: Eukaryota; Metazoa; Chordata; Mammalia; Rodentia; Muridae. The transcript is spliced from 5 exons. The record is from RefSeq and is a predicted model, not a curated record.